This 378-nucleotide small nucleolar RNA is filed under the name Rosa hybrid cultivar. Lineage: Eukaryota; Viridiplantae; Streptophyta; Magnoliopsida; Rosales; Rosaceae. The record is from RNAcentral.
AGAAAACACAGUGCACCACACCGACUGGGAAUGCUUCGUAAGGUAUUUUGGAGAUUGCAAGAGGUGAAAUGCUUGUGCUUAGAAUUGAAUAUAUGAGGAAGAAAGCAAGUUACGAAUGUAGGAUCUACAUCACCAACUUGAUUUGGAUUCUAUUAAUUCAAAACAAAUACAAUAGUAGUGUCACAUGUAUAAUCAAUUCUACUUUCACGGAUAAGCAGCCAAAGUUUAUUAGUUUUUUCACCUUUACUCGCAUAGAGUCGCACUUGAGACGGGACACGUGAGGCACGUGCGCUUUUAAAACAUUUGUGAUAAGAAUCCCACAUCGAGAAACAGUGGCAACCUAAUGCUCUUCAUAUACGAAUGCUUCGCAGUAGAGUU